CCCUACGGGACGCAGCAGUGGGGAGUAUUGCACAAUGGGGGAAACCCUGAUGCAGCGACGCCGCGUGAGCGAUGAAGUAUUUCGGUAUGUAAAGCUCUAUCAGCAGGGAAGAAAAUGACGGUACCUGACUAAGAAGCCCUGGCUAACUACGUGCCAGCAGCCGCGGUAAUACGUAGGGGGCAAGCGUUAUCCGGAUUUACUGGGUGUAAAGGGAGCGUAGACGGUCCUGCAAGCCAGAUGUGAAAGCCCGGGGCUCAACCCCGGGACUGCUCUGGAAACUGUACGGCUGGAGUGCAGGAGAGGUA
This 305-nucleotide ribosomal RNA is filed under the name uncultured bacterium. RNAcentral's name for it is "bacterial SSU rRNA". It matches the Rfam family "Bacterial small subunit ribosomal RNA", at positions 337 to 659 of the family's 1533-position model. The record is from RNAcentral.